Molecule: long non-coding RNA, 2260 nt
Organism: Dromaius novaehollandiae (emu)
Lineage: Eukaryota; Metazoa; Chordata; Aves; Casuariiformes; Dromaiidae
Exons: 2
Source: RefSeq, a predicted model, not a curated record
UUCGCAAGCAGCAGUGGCACUGGCUGCUGCUUUCCCUUCCACGCUGCUGCUUGUCACAGGGCUCCUGCGGCUGUCACUCACCAAUCCUCUUCUGUUUCGUUGGAAAGGUCAAAACUGCAACAGGGAAUUCCUGAAUCUGUCUCUGUGGCAGCUGUGCAGACACGUCCUACAAACUGAGCUGGCUGUGGACUUUUCUUUAACGUUUGAUAGCCCCUCUGCAGCCACGGGACCCGCAGAGCGCGGGAAGCUGGGCUGGGACUUGCUUUCCGUCACCCACCCAACACCUGAAGCUGCUGCUCUCAGAAACAGCAAGAGCCAGGGCCAGUUGCUGCCCCGCUGAGCGCCGUGUCCUUGCGUGCGGCGGCAGCUGGGCAGAGAGCAGGGCACAACGCAGAGCGUCCCCUCAGCUUUUAUUCAGUGCUUGUGGCUGGUGCUCAUCAGUAUCAGCUCUGCUAAGACCCAAAUUUCUCUGCUUGAAUGAAAACAGUGGGAGCUACAAAGGCAGGUCUGGAUUUCAAGAGGCUGGAUCCUCCGGGCUCAAGACUUGCACGGUGCAAACAGCCGCACCCGAACCCGCCACCCUCAGCUCCCCUCGCAGCACCCCGAGGAGAGCGCCUGCCCGCUGCAGACAGGUCCUUCAGGACAAGGCGAACCCUUGCGGAAGCGCCUCCUUUCUCCUGCUAGCUCUAACAGGGAUCUGCACCGGGAGCUCAGACACAAGCACCCACGUCCCAUCCAAAGCACUCACCACCCUGCAGCUGAGCCUGCAUGUAGAUGCGACGCAUCACUGCAUGCGCCCCGCGCCCAGCACUUUUUGCAAGUGUAGCAGCUGCUGCAUGAGAUGCACAGAGCCAAACCCAGGUAGCAUGAAAUAAGUGCCUUCAAGCCUGCCAGCCUCGACAAUGUUCUCUGGGUGACUGCCGCUUUCUGCCUCAGAGCUUAGCUGUAAAGGUAUUUGUCCCUGCCAAGAGCCGAGCGGCUCUGGACGCGUAAAGCAGCAGAGCAGAAGCACAUGGGCUCAGAGAGGCCUUCCAGCAACUCAAACUGAGGUGACUUAGGAAUUCACGCUCCUUUACGUGCUGCUUUUCCAGGUGCUGCAGCUCACAGGCCAGCGCGUUAGCCUACCCUGCAGGCCAUCUCCCUUCUUACCCUCCCCAGGGCCGCGACAGCCAAGGAGCAGACGCCCAGCCCAGGGGGCUGAGCCCCCCACCACUGCACAUGGAUGCACCAAGGGCACCCGGCCCCACAGCUGGCACCCUCGGAGAGGAAAACGCUUGCAGGGAGGUUGGGCAAGUGCCGGGAGAAGACAGCGGUCCAGGCAGGCCCCACAGAAAGGAGCUGGUUUGGGGCACGCAGCAAUACCUCAGGGGGGACUGGAGGGUGCCGCGCAGCUCUGCUGCCAGCCCACAUGCCAAGAGGGAUGGCUCAGGCAUCAGAAACGCUGUUUAACCUGUCCCUCCAUCACAGGAUAGAGUCUGCAGCUUCCCUCUGACACCUCUCACAUCCGACAAAGGGCCACAUUUGCAUUUCCUCUCGCGUCUCCUAUGCAAUAGGGAGGUCCCUGCGCAGGAGCUGCUGCUUUUACAUGCUUUUUUAUGCAACCUCCCAAGCUCACCCUGCCAGCUCCCACAGGCACCUUCAGCUUGCACCCCAGCAGGCCAUCGUGUCCCCCAGCAGACAGGAGCUGCCCCAGCGCCUCACUGCACCCAGCCUCUGCCAGCAGUCAGGAGAGACUCAUAAGGGGGGCUGCAGGCAUGAGGUGGCCCUCACACAUACCAAUUUACAGCUCCUGGCCUCCUAGAAAAGAUCACAACUUCAGCCACCUCUUCGUCGCACAGAACAAGGAUGUUUUAACUCCAAACAACAGGCAACGAGCUUUCCAGGCCACUCACCAGGGCGAGCACUACCAGCGUGCCCAGGAGAGGUGGAGGGGUAGCUCCUCUCCAGCCCCAGCUGUCCGACAGCACCCAGUAACAUCACAGCUCUGGGGUGUUUCUUCUUUGAAUCUAAAGGACCUUCCCCAAGAGUUUCUCCUUGACCUAGAAAAUGCUGAAGCAAAUUUUCUUUCAGUUCCCUAGACUGCAAACCCCAUUCCCCAGAAGAAGAAACAUCAAGUGGAAAGCACAUAGUGCAAGAUGGCAUGUGGGGCACAAGGACCUUUAUCCCACAAUCCAAAAAGCUGUAAACACCAGGCUACUCUGGCAUAGCCUAAUUUUAUUUUAGAUAUCACAAUAAAGCAUGGAACUAGCAAACAAAGGUA